CGAACGAUGAUCCCAGCUUGCUGGGGGAUUAGUGGCGAACGGGUGAGUAACACGUGAGUAACCUGCCCUUAACUCUGGGAUAAGCCUGGGAAACUGGGUCUAAUACCGGAUAUGACUCCUCAUCGCAUGGUGGGGGGUGGAAAGCUUUAUUGUGGUUUUGGAUGGACUCGCGGCCUAUCAGCUUGUUGGUGAGGUAAUGGCUCACCAAGGCGACGACGGGUAGCCGGCCUGAGAGGGUGACCGGCCACACUGGGACUGAGACACGGCCCAGACUCCUACGGGAGGCAGCAGUGGGGAAUAUUGCACAAUGGGCGAAAGCCUGAUGCAGCGACGCCGCGUGAGGGAUGACGGCCUUCGGGUUGUAAACCUCUUUCAGUAGGGAAGAAGCGAAAGUGACGGUACCUGCAGAAGAAGCGCCGGCUAACUACGUGCCAGCAGCCGCGGUAAUACGUAGGGCGCAAGCGUUAUCCGGAAUUAUUGGGCGUAAAGAGCUCGUAGGCGGUUUGUCGCGUCUGCCGUGAAAGUCCGGGGCUCAACUCCGGAUCUGCGGUGGGUACGGGCAGACUAGAGUGAUGUAGGGGAGACUGGAAUUCCUGGUGUAGCGGUGAAAUGCGCAGAUAUCAGGAGGAACACCGAUGGCGAAGGCAGGUCUCUGGGCAUUAACUGACGCUGAGGAGCGAAAGCAUGGGG
Molecule: ribosomal RNA, 690 nt
Filed under: Arthrobacter sp. N4_95_3
Lineage: Bacteria; Bacillati; Actinomycetota; Actinomycetes; Micrococcales; Micrococcaceae
Description: bacterial SSU rRNA
Rfam family: Bacterial small subunit ribosomal RNA
Source: RNAcentral